Molecule: ribosomal RNA, 660 nt
Filed under: Dulcerana granularis
Lineage: Eukaryota; Metazoa; Mollusca; Gastropoda; Littorinimorpha; Bursidae
Description: partial 16S ribosomal RNA
Rfam family: Bacterial large subunit ribosomal RNA (bases 1-585)
Source: RNAcentral
CAUGGCUCCCUGAAUGUAAUAUAUAGGGAGUCGGACCUGCCCAGUGAAGGAUUUUAAACGGCCGCGGUACUCUGACCGUGCAAAGGUAGCAUAAUCAUUUGCCCUAUAAUUGAGGGCUAGUAUGAAUGGUUUGACAAGAAUAAAGCUGUCUCCGUGUAAUUACAUAGAAUUUUAUUUUUAGGUGAAGAAGCCUAAAUUAUAUUAAAAGACAAGAAGACCCUAUCGAGCUUUAAAGAAAUUAAUGAGAUAAUGUCAAAUAUUAAUUAAAAUAAAUUUUAUUAAAAAUUUUGGUUGGGGCGACAAAGGAACAAAUAAAGCUUCUUUUAAAAUAAAAAACUUACAAGUAGUGAUCCAGAAAAUUCUGAUUAAAGAAAUUAGUUACCGUAGGGAUAACAGCAUUAUCUUUUUUGAGAGCUCAUAUCGAAAAAAAGGUUUGUGACCUCGAUGUUGGACCAGGAUAUCCAGAAGAUGCAGAAGUCUUCAAAGGUUGGUCUGUUCGACCAUUAAAAUCCUACGUGAUCUGAGUUCAGACCGGCGUGAGCCAGGUCAGUUUCUAUCUUUUAUUAAUAAAAUAAGUUUAGUACGAAAGGACCAACUUAUAAUAUUAUAAAUAAUAUUGACUUAUUGAUUAAAUAUAAUAUAAAAAUAAAUAAAAUUAAC